CGGGGUUUAGGGUUUCCGCCUUUUCUGAAAUUUCAUGCCAAAUAGGGCAUGAAUCUUUCAAAAUUUGUAGGCAUUUUGAUCUUAAAGCUGUGAAUCAAAACCUUUUGUUACUAAUUUGUGAUAAUCGUUGAGAAAAACAGAGUUUUUUGGAAAUUGAAGGCUUCGGUUCACAAAAACAGGUAAGAACUUUGGGUUUUUUUUUUUUUCCGCCAUUUGAUUUAUUUCACGGCAUAUUUUGAACAAAAUGAGUUCAAUAAUUAGGGUUUUUAAUCUUUAUUGUGUCUAGUAUGAUUUAAAAUUUUCAAUUUUACGUAAUCUAGUCAAUUACAGCAAGAAAUUUGAUAUGAACAGUGAGAUGUCUGCGGAACCAAAUUCCGCUUUUUUUUUUUUUUUUCCGCCUUUUGAUUUUGUUUUCAUGAUAUAUUAGAAAUAAUGUGUUACAAAUUUAGGUUUUUAAUUCCUUAUAUUGUUGUUUAUCAGAAAAUAUACUCAAUUGGAUGUAAUUUAUUCACUUAGAGGUGAAUUUUUGAGUUAAAAUCGCUUAUGUAAAACGACUUUGUGAAGAACUAAUUUUUUUUUUUUUUUUUGUAGCCCAUGAUAGAAUUUUUUGUAAUCCAUGAUCGAAUUUUUUGUAAUCCAUGAUCAAAAUGUUUGUUUUUCUUUCUUGUAAUCCAUGAUCGAAUUUUAUUUUUUAUUUUUUAUUUUUGUAACCCAUGAUAGAAUUUUAUGUAAUCCAUGAUCGAAUGUUUUGUAAUCCAUGAUCGAAAUGUUUGUUUUUUUUUGUAAUCCAUGAUCGAAUUUUUUGUUUUUUGUUUUUUAUGUAACUCAUGAUAGAGUUUUUUGUAAUCUAUGAUUGAACUUUUUGUUAUCCAUGAUGUAAAUGUUUUUUUCUUUUUUUGUAAUCCACGAUCGAAUUUUUUGUUUUUUUUUUUUUGUAAUCCAUGAUCGAAUUUUAUGUAAUCCAUGAUCGAAUUUUUUGUAAUCCAUGAUAGAAUUUUUUGUAAUCCAUGAUCGACUUUUUUGUAAUCCAUGAUCGAAAUGUUUGUUUUUUU
RNAcentral lists this long non-coding RNA (1052 nucleotides) under Amborella trichopoda. RNAcentral describes it as "long non-coding RNA (ATRI_LNC000716)". Lineage: Eukaryota; Viridiplantae; Streptophyta; Magnoliopsida; Amborellales; Amborellaceae. The record is from RNAcentral.